Molecule: long non-coding RNA, 1200 nt
Filed under: Felis catus (domestic cat)
Lineage: Eukaryota; Metazoa; Chordata; Mammalia; Carnivora; Felidae
Description: lncRNA (ENSFCAG00000051939.1)
Source: RNAcentral
AUGAAAGAAAAGGAAGGAAGGAAGGAAGGAAGGAAGGAAGGAAGGAAGGAAGGAAGGAAGGAAGGAAGCAGAGGGAGGAAGGAAGGAAGGGAGAGAGGAAGGGAGGGAAGGAGGGAGGGAUGGAGGGAUGGAGGCAGGGAGGAAGGCAAGGAGGGAGGGAGUAGAGGGAGGGAGGAAAAGACUUUGCAGAACCACCCAAACCUGUUUGCAUUCCAGCAGGUGGGUCUGAGCCCCCUUAUGGCUUUGGGGCCAGGAGGCUGGGUCUUCCCUCCCAGGGCCCGGGCGGCAGGAGUGUGCACCACUCACUCUCCCACACUGUCCUUCCCCAGAGCUGCGGGACCCCAGGUGACCGCUUCCCCCCAGCAGGGCAGGCAGGCAAGACUUCUCCAGUCCCACAUGCUGAGUGCAUGUCCCAGCAAGGACACCCAUUUCACAGAUGAGGAGACUGAGGCUCAGGUGGGGACUGGAGCCCAGGCACGGCGGGAACCUAGGCCUGAGCCGCCUCCGGGACCGAACCAGGCAGUUCUGGGGCUGCCGCAGGCCCUUCCACACCAGCCUCCGUGGCCUGGCCUUCUUGUUGGAGGAAGAGUGGCAGGCCCACCCCUGUGCCCCUGGCCCGCUGGGCAGCCCUCCAGCCCUCCCGUGCUUCCCCUAGCCAACGGGGCCGCGUCCUCCCCGCCAACCUCCACAUUCUCUGCCACUGGCUCCUGGGCCCAAAGGCCGCGGCUCCAGUCAGCCCUCACCCCGCCUGACUGCUGUCGCCCGACUGGCUUCCCGCCUCCGCCUCUUCACCCUCCCCCUCCUCAGGACUUCUGUCCAAACUCCCCGCUCGGGAGGCCUUUCCAACCCCGGCCAGCUCCUCCCACCGCUCCCCUCGGGGCUCCAGCCCACUUUCACGGUCCACACCAGUGCUGCCUUUCCCCUCCCAGGCCUGGGCUCACACCUGGUCCCUCGGUUAGGAACCCGGCACCUCCACCUGGAGAAAACCCACGACUUCAGGUCCCUCCCUUCCUCCUGGGACCUGCCCUGAUCACCUGGCCACAUAGUGCCUCUCUGUGGCCCUGGGGUACCCGCACCCAGGCCACCACAGACUCGGAAUUUGCCUUUCGCCUCCUCCAACCUCUGAAUCCCGGAGGGCACGUCCCUCCCUGGAGCCUCGCUGAUGGCACGGUGUGUGCCCUCUGCUGGUCCAAAUCCUGA